RNAcentral lists this long non-coding RNA (280 nucleotides) under Gallus gallus (chicken). The record is from RNAcentral. Lineage: Eukaryota; Metazoa; Chordata; Aves; Galliformes; Phasianidae.
UCUGUGGCUGGUAAACGGUUUUUGUCUUCUUGAUGUGGGCCACCCCGGCAGCAACGGCCGCUGUCUCGCUCAUCCCGCAGGCGUUCUCUGAGAACACACGGAAGGAAUACGUGUUGCCUAUGAUGAGGUCGGAGAUGGUGCAGCUGGUGCGGGUGCAGCGCUCCAGCACUGUGAACCACUUCCCACUCUUCUUGUCCGACUUCUGCACUGUGUAGCCCUUUAUCUCAGAGUUCCCAUUGUCUGCUGGGGGACUCCACUCCAGGGCCACGUUAAAGCCCCA